GGAACGAACGCUGGCGGCAUGCCUAAUACAUGCAAGUCGAACGAACACUUCGGUGUUAGUGGCGCACGGGUGCGUAACGCGUGGGAAUCUGCCCUUGGGUUCGGAAUAACAGUUGGAAACGACUGCUAAUACCGGAUGAUGACGAAAGUCCAAAGAUUUAUCGCCCAGGGAUGAGCCCGCGUAGGAUUAGCUAGUUGGUGAGGUAAAGGCUCACCAAGGCGACGAUCCUUAGCUGGUCUGAGAGGAUGAUCAGCCACACUGGGACUGAGACACGGCCAGACUCCGUACGGGAGGCAGCAGUAGGAAUA
RNAcentral lists this ribosomal RNA (308 nucleotides) under uncultured soil bacterium. RNAcentral describes it as "bacterial SSU rRNA". It matches the Rfam family "Bacterial small subunit ribosomal RNA", at positions 27 to 363 of the family's 1533-position model. The record is from RNAcentral.